CAUACGUCCUACGGGAGAAAGCAGGGGACCUUCGGGCCUUGCGCUAUCAGAUGAGCCUAGGUCGGAUUAGCUAGUUGGUGAGGUAAUGGCUCACCAAGGCGACGAUCCGUAACUGGUCUGAGAGGAUGAUCAGUCACACUGGAACUGAGACACGGUCCAGACUCCUACGGGAGGCAGCAGUGGGGAAUAUUGGACAAUGGGCGAAAGCCUGAUCCAGCCAUGCCGCGUGUGUGAAGAAGGUCUUCGGAUUGUAAAGCACUUUAAGUUGGGAGGAAGGGUUGUAGAUUAAUACUCUGCAAUUUUAACGUUACCGACAGAAUAAGCACCGGCUAACUGUGUGCCAGCAGCCGCGGUAAUACAGAGGGUGCAAGCGUUAAUCGGAAUUACUGGGCGUAAAGCGCGCGUAGGUGGUUUGUUAAGUUGGAUGUGAAAUCCCCGGGCUCAACCUGGGAACUGCAUUCAAAACUGACUGACUAGAGUAUGGUAGAGGGUGGUGGAAUUUCCUGUGUAGCGGUGAAAUGCGUAGAUAUAGGAAGGAACACCAGUUGGCGAAGGCGACCACCUGGACUAAUACUGACACUGAGGUG
RNAcentral lists this ribosomal RNA (587 nucleotides) under uncultured bacterium. Its description in RNAcentral is "bacterial SSU rRNA". It matches the Rfam family "Bacterial small subunit ribosomal RNA", at positions 172 to 753 of the family's 1533-position model. The record is from RNAcentral.